This 274-nucleotide ribosomal RNA is filed under the name uncultured bacterium. RNAcentral's name for it is "partial 16S ribosomal RNA". It matches the Rfam family "Bacterial small subunit ribosomal RNA", at positions 523 to 796 of the family's 1533-position model. The record is from RNAcentral.
AUACGGAGGGGGCUAGCGUUGUUCGGAUUUACUGGGCGUAAAGCGCGCGUAGGCGGUAUAUCAAGUUAGGCGUGAAAGCCCCGGGCUCAACCCGGGAACUGCGCUUAUUACUGAUAAACUAGAGUCCGGGAGAGGAUGGCGGAAUUCCCAGUGUAGAGGUGAAAUUCGUAGAUAUUGGGAAGAACACCAGUGGCGAAGGCGGCCAUCUGGUCCGGUACUGACGCUGAGGUGCGAAAGCGUGGGGAGCAAACAGGAUUAGAAACCCCAGUAGUCC